This 253-nucleotide ribosomal RNA is filed under the name uncultured bacterium. RNAcentral describes it as "partial 16S ribosomal RNA". It matches the Rfam family "Bacterial small subunit ribosomal RNA", at positions 524 to 776 of the family's 1533-position model. The record is from RNAcentral.
UACGGAGGGUGCAAGCGUUAUCCGGAUUCACUGGGUUUAAAGGGAGCGUAGGCGGAUAGUUCAGUCAGAGGUGAAAGCCCAGGGCUCAACCUUGGAAUUGCCUUUGAUACUGGCUGUCUUGAGUAUGGGAGAGGUUAGCGGAACUCCGAGUGUAGAGGUGAAAUUCGUAGAUAUUCGGAAGAACACCAGUGGCGAAGGCGGCUAACUGGCCCAUUACUGACGCUGAGGCUCGAAAGCGUGGGGAGCAAACAGG